This 301-nucleotide ribosomal RNA is filed under the name uncultured bacterium. Its description in RNAcentral is "partial 16S ribosomal RNA". It matches the Rfam family "Bacterial small subunit ribosomal RNA", at positions 509 to 807 of the family's 1533-position model. The record is from RNAcentral.
CAGUCGCCACGGGAAUACGGAGGGUGCAAGCGUUAAUCGGAAUUACUGGGCGUAAAGCGCACGCAGGCGGUCUGACAAGUCAGAUGUGAAAUCCCCGGGCUUAACCUGGGAACUGCAUUUGAAACUGUCAGGCUGGAGUCUUGUAGAGGGGGGUAGAAUUCCAGGUGUAGCGGUGAAAUGCGUAGAGAUCUGGAGGAAUACCGAUGGCGAAGGCAGCCAUCUGGCCUAAUACUGACGCUGAGGUACGAAAGCAUGGGGAGCAAACAGGAUUAGAUACCCCUGUAGUCCCUGUCUCUUAUAC